UACGUAGGGUGCGAGCGUUGCCCGGAUUUAUUGGGCGUAAAGGGCGCGUAGGCGGCCACGCACGUCCGUUGUGAAAUCGCCCGGCUCAACUGGGCGGGGUCAGCGGAUACGGUGUGGCUCGAGCAAGCUAGGGGGCAAUGGAAUUCCCGGUGUAGUGGUGGAAUGCGUAGAUAUCGGGAGGAACACCAGUGGCGAAGGCGGUUGCCUGGAGCUUUGCUGACGCUGAGGAGCGAAAGCGUGGGGAGCGAACAGG
Molecule: ribosomal RNA, 253 nt
Filed under: uncultured bacterium
Lineage: Bacteria
Description: partial 16S ribosomal RNA
Rfam family: Bacterial small subunit ribosomal RNA
Source: RNAcentral